GAACUAGAGAGUUUGAUCCUGGCUCAGGACGAACGCUGGCGGCGUGCCUAACACAUGCAAGUCGAGCGGUCUAAGUAAGCAACCUAGUUGAGAACUUAGAUAGCGGCGGACGGGUGAGUAACGCGUGGAGAACCUACCUUGUAGAGGGGGAUAGCCUCGGGAAACCGGGAUUAAUACCCCAUGACACUGAAAUACCGCAUGGUAUUUGAGUCAAAGCGAGCAAGCGCUACAAGAUGGCUCCGCGUCCCAUUAG
This is a non-coding RNA of Garciella nitratireducens DSM 15102, 253 nucleotides long. Lineage: Bacteria; Bacillati; Bacillota; Clostridia; Eubacteriales; Eubacteriaceae. The record is from Rfam.